Long non-coding RNA from Oncorhynchus tshawytscha (Chinook salmon), 2963 nucleotides. The record is from Ensembl. NCBI's taxonomy places the organism in Eukaryota, Metazoa, Chordata, Actinopteri, Salmoniformes, Salmonidae.
CAUAGUGUUCUAUCUAGCUGGGUGAAUCAUUCAUCAAACACUCAUGUCCCACACCAACUUUACUCCACCACAGAUAAGACACUGGUAGUAUUCCUGGUGGGACUGUAUGCUAGAGUAAUAACAGUGGGCCAGAGUGUCAACCUGGAUAAGACGCAGACUCUGUCUGACUGCUAGAAGAUGACUUUGACUCGACAUAUUCCUGAAUGAUCAUAAUGUCUGAUAAUGGCCUACAUAAAGUACAUUGAAAUUGGAUUUACUGGAUCAACUUCGGCAUGGUUUAAUUGACUGAAUUAAGAGUCCAACUAUUUGUGAGACUACACUACAGUGAUAGACUUGAUUACCAACAAUGAUGAGACGGCCUACAGGGAGGAGGUGAGGGCCCUCGGAGUGUGGUGUCAGGAAAAUAACCUCACACUCAAUGUCAACAAAACAAAGGAGAUGAUCGUGGACUUCAGGAAACAGCAGAGGGAGCAGCCCCCUAUCCGCAUCGACGGGACAGUAGUUGAGAGGGUGGAAAGUUUUAAGUUCCUUGGCGUACACAUCACGGACAAACUAAAUUGGUCCACCCACACAGACAGCGUGGUGAAGAAGGUGCAGCAGUGCCUCUUCAACCUCAAGAGGCUGAAGAAAUUUGGCUUGUCACCAAAAACACCAAAACUUUUACAGAUGCACAAUCGAGAGCAUCCUGUCGGGCUGUAUCACCGCCUGGUACGGAAACUGCUCCGCCCAAAACCAUAAGGCUCUCCAGAGGGUAGUGAGGUCUGCACAACGCAUCACCGGGGACAAACUACCUGCCCUCCAUGACACCUUCAGCACCCAAUGUCACAGGAAGGCCAAAAAGAUCAUCAAGGACAACAACCACCCAAGCCACUGCCUGUUCACCCCGGUAUCAUCCAGAAGGCAAGGUCAGUACAGGUGCAUCAAAGCAGGGACCAAGAGACUGAAAAACAGCUUCUAUCUCAAGGCCAUAAGACUGUUAAACAGCCAUCACUGACAUUGAGUGGCUGCUGGCAACAUACUGACUCAACUCUAGCCACUUUAAUAAUGGAAAAAUGUAUGUAAUAAAUGUAUCACUAGCCACUUUAAACAAUGUCCCUUUAUAUCAUGUUUACAUACCCUACAUUACUCAUCUCAUAUGUAUAUACUGUACUCUAUAACAUCUACUGCAUCUUGCCUAUGCCGUUCGGCCAUCACUUAUUCAUAUAUAUUUUAUGUACAUAUUCUUAUUCAUUCGUUUACACUUGUGUGUAUAAGGUAGUUGUUGUGAAAUUGUUAGGUUAGAUUACUUGUUAGAUAUUACUCAAGCAUUUCGCUACACUCGGAUUAACAUCUGCUAACCAUGUGUAUGUGACAAAUAACAUUUGAUUUGAUUUGAUUUGGACAGCUACUCCAAUCUCCGCUGUGGAGCUUUGCAGCUCCUUCAGGGUUAUCUUCGGUCUCUUUGUUGCCCUCCUUGCCUGGUCCGUGAGUUUUGGUGGGCGACCCUCUCUUGGCAGGUUUGUCGUGGUGCCAUAUUCUUUCAAUUUUUCAAUAAUUGAUUUAAUGGUGCUCUGUGGGAUGUUCGAAGUCUCUGAUAUUUUUUAUAACCCAACCCUGAUCUGUACUUCUCCACAACUUUGUCCCUGAUCUGUUUGGAGAGCUCAUUGGUCUUCACGAUGCCACUUGAUUGCUGGUGCCCUUUGCUUAGUGGUGUUACAGACUCUGGGGCCUUUCAGAACAGGUGUAUAUAUACUGAGAUCAUGUGGCAGAUCAUGUAACACUUAGGUUGCACGCAGGUGGAAUUUAUUUAACUAAUUAUGUGACUUCUGAAGGUAAUUGGUUGCACCAGAUCUUAUUUAGGGGCUUCAUAGCAAAAGGGGUGAAUACAUAUGUACGCACCACUUUUCUGUUUGUUUUUUUAAAGUAAUUUUAUCAAUUUCACUUUACCAAUUUGAACUAUUUUGUCUAUGUCCAUACAUGAAAUCAUAAUACAAAUAUAUUUUAAUAACAGGUUGUUAUGCAAUAAAACAGGAAAAACGCCAAGGGGGAUGAAUAUUUUUGCAAGGCACUGUAUAACAUCGAACAUACAGUACUUUGAGUAACAUUCCAAAUGAAAUCAAAUGUUUUGUCACAUGCCCUGAAUACAACAUGAAAUGCUUACUCUACAAGCCCUUAACCAACAAUGCAGUUUAAGAAAUAGAGUUAAGAAAAUAUUUACUGUUGUAAAGAAUCUAACUAAAGGUAACACAAUAAAAUGUCAUAACAACAAAGAGGCUAUAUACAGGGUACCGGUACCGAGUCAAUGUGCGGGGGUAUAGGUUAGUCGGGGUAAAUUGUACAUGUAGUUAGGGGUAAAGUGACUAGUCUGGGUGGCCAUUUGAGUCAUUGUUCAGUAGUCUGAACUUGGGAGUACUGAACGUAACGUGCCAAUGUAAACUCAGAUUUUUGGAUAUAAAUAUGAACUUUAUCAAACAAAAUAUAGAUGUAUUGUGUAACAUUAUGUCCUAUGAGUGUCAUCUGAUGAAGAUCAUCAAAGGUUAGUGAUUAAUUUGAUCUCUAUUUCUGCUUUUUGUGACUCCUCUCUUUGGCUGGAAAAAUGGCUGUGUUUUUCUGUGACUAGGUACUGACCUAACAUAAUCGUUUGGUGUGCUUUCGUCGUAAAGCCUUUUUGAAAUCUGACACUGUGGCUGGAUUUACAACAAGUUUAUCCUUGCCUUUUUCUUCACGUGAAUGACGUGGAUUUGGGGCUGAUCUCUGGAAAUCAGUAUAUCCUUUGUGUCUUACUCAUUAAAGAAAAAAUCUUUGUCCAGUUCGAGAUGAGUAAUCGCUGUUCUGAUGUCCAGAAGCUCUUUUCAGUCAUAAGAGACAGUAGCAACAGCGUUGUGUACAAAAUAAGUUUCAAACAAUACAAAAUAACUAACAAAAUAGCACAGUUGGUGAGGAGCCCGUUAAACGGCAGCCAUCCUCUCCGGCGUCAUUAUUCA